RNAcentral lists this ribosomal RNA (2036 nucleotides) under Staphylococcus aureus 09S00475. Its description in RNAcentral is "bacterial LSU rRNA". It matches the Rfam family "Bacterial large subunit ribosomal RNA", at positions 3 to 2036 of the family's 2925-position model. Lineage: Bacteria; Bacillati; Bacillota; Bacilli; Caryophanales; Staphylococcaceae. The record is from RNAcentral.
UUAAGUUAUUAAGGGCGCACGGUGGAUGCCUUGGCACUAGAAGCCGAUGAAGGACGUUACUAACGACGAUAUGCUUUGGGGAGCUGUAAGUAAGCUUUGAUCCAGAGAUUUCCGAAUGGGGAAACCCAGCAUGAGUUAUGUCAUGUUAUCGAUAUGUGAAUACAUAGCAUAUCAGAAGGCACACCCGGAGAACUGAAACAUCUUAGUACCCGGAGGAAGAGAAAGAAAAUUCGAUUCCCUUAGUAGCGGCGAGCGAAACGGGAAGAGCCCAAACCAACAAGCUUGCUUGUUGGGGUUGUAGGACACUCUAUACGGAGUUACAAAGGACGACAUUAGACGAAUCAUCUGGAAAGAUGAAUCAAAGAAGGUAAUAAUCCUGUAGUCGAAAAUGUUGUCUCUCUUGAGUGGAUCCUGAGUACGACGGAGCACGUGAAAUUCCGUCGGAAUCUGGGAGGACCAUCUCCUAAGGCUAAAUACUCUCUAGUGACCGAUAGUGAACCAGUACCGUGAGGGAAAGGUGAAAAGCACCCCGGAAGGGGAGUGAAAUAGAACCUGAAACCGUGUGCUUACAAGUAGUCAGAGCCCGUUAAUGGGUGAUGGCGUGCCUUUUGUAGAAUGAACCGGCGAGUUACGAUUUGAUGCAAGGUUAAGCAGUAAAUGUGGAGCCGUAGCGAAAGCGAGUCUGAAUAGGGCGUUUAGUAUUUGGUCGUAGACCCGAAACCAGGUGAUCUACCCUUGGUCAGGUUGAAGUUCAGGUAACACUGAAUGGAGGACCGAACCGACUUACGUUGAAAAGUGAGCGGAUGAACUGAGGGUAGCGGAGAAAUUCCAAUCGAACCUGGAGAUAGCUGGUUCUCUCCGAAAUAGCUUUAGGGCUAGCCUCAAGUGAUGAUUAUUGGAGGUAGAGCACUGUUUGGACGAGGGGCCCCUCUCGGGUUACCGAAUUCAGACAAACUCCGAAUGCCAAUUAAUUUAACUUGGGAGUCAGAACAUGGGUGAUAAGGUCCGUGUUCGAAAGGGAAACAGCCCAGACCACCAGCUAAGGUCCCAAAAUAUAUGUUAAGUGGAAAAGGAUGUGGCGUUGCCCAGACAACUAGGAUGUUGGCUUAGAAGCAGCCAUCAUUUAAAGAGUGCGUAAUAGCUCACUAGUCGAGUGACACUGCGCCGAAAAUGUACCGGGGCUAAACAUAUUACCGAAGCUGUGGAUUGUCCUUUGGACAAUGGUAGGAGAGCGUUCUAAGGGCGUUGAAGCAUGAUCGUAAGGACAUGUGGAGCGCUUAGAAGUGAGAAUGCCGGUGUGAGUAGCGAAAGACGGGUGAGAAUCCCGUCCACCGAUUGACUAAGGUUUCCAGAGGAAGGCUCGUCCGCUCUGGGUUAGUCGGGUCCUAAGCUGAGGCCGACAGGCGUAGGCGAUGGAUAACAGGUUGAUAUUCCUGUACCACCUAUAAUCGUUUUAAUCGAUGGGGGGGACGCAGUAGGAUAGGCGAAGCGUGCGAUUGGAUUGCACGUCUAAGCAGUAAGGCUGAGUAUUAGGCAAAUCCGGUACUCAUUAAGGCUGAGCUGUGAUGGGGAGAAGACAUUGUGUCUUCGAGUCGUUGAUUUCACACUGCCGAGAAAAGCCUCUAGAUAGAAAAUAGGUGCCCGUACCGCAAACCGACACAGGUAGUCAAGAUGAGAAUUCUAAGGUGAGCGAGCGAACUCUCGUUAAGGAACUCGGCAAAAUGACCCCGUAACUUCGGGAGAAGGGGUGCUCUUUAGGGUUAACGCCCAGAAGAGCCGCAGUGAAUAGGCCCAAGCGACUGUUUAUCAAAAACACAGGUCUCUGCUAAACCGUAAGGUGAUGUAUAGGGGCUGACGCCUGCCCGGUGCUGGAAGGUUAAGAGGAGUGGUUAGCUUCUGCGAAGCUACGAAUCGAAGCCCCAGUAAACGGCGGCCGUAACUAUAACGGUCCUAAGGUAGCGAAAUUCCUUGUCGGGUAAGUUCCGACCCGCACGAAAGGCGUAACGAUUUGGGCACUGUCUCAACGAGAGACUCGG